Molecule: long non-coding RNA, 327 nt
Filed under: Homo sapiens (human)
Lineage: Eukaryota; Metazoa; Chordata; Mammalia; Primates; Hominidae
Description: non-protein coding lnc-FOXO3-5:8
Source: RNAcentral
UACAGACAUUUUGAGUUAAGAAAACCACACGUCUAUCUUCAAAAUUGAGAUUACCCUCUAUAUUUCAUUUUUCAUAAUUGCACAGAAAUGACAUCACCCAAUUUUCCAAAUUAUAUGACUUGAAUUUCACACUGGAUGUUUCAAAAAUUUGUUGAUUAACUUAUUGGAUAGUGACUCACUCAUUCACGUACCCACCCUAUUCCCAAUCCCCUUGAGCCUUCCCUACUUUUAUACUUUGCUUUUUUUCCAUAGCACUUAUUAUCUUAUAACAUGUCGUAUACCUUAUUUAUUAUGGUUAUUGCUUAUUUUCUGUUGAUUAGGUUGUAA